RNAcentral lists this ribosomal RNA (497 nucleotides) under uncultured bacterium. RNAcentral describes it as "partial 16S ribosomal RNA". It matches the Rfam family "Bacterial small subunit ribosomal RNA", at positions 28 to 507 of the family's 1533-position model. The record is from RNAcentral.
GACGAACGCUGGCGGCGUGCCUAAUACAUGCAAGUAGAACGCUGAAGAGAGGAGCUUGCUCUUCUUGGAUGAGUUGCGAACGGGUGAGUAACGCGUAGGUAACCUGCCUUGUAGCGGGGGAUAACUAUUGGAAACGAUAGCUAAUACCGCAUAACAAUGGAUGACACAUGUCAUUUAUUUGAAAGGGGCAAUUGCUCCACUACAAGAUGGACCUGCGUUGUAUUAGCUAGUAGGUGAGGUAAUGGCUCACCUAGGCGACGAUACAUAGCCGACCUGAGAGGGUGAGCGGCCACAAUGGGACUGGGACACGGGCCAGAAUCCUACGGGAGGGAGCAGUAGGGGAUCUUCGGCAAUGGGGGCAACCCUGACCGGGAAACGCCGCGUGAGUGAAGAAGGUUAUCGGAUCGAAAAGUUCUGUUGUAAGGCAAGAAAGGGGGUGAGAGUGGAAAGUUCACACUGUGAAGGUAGCUUACCAGAAAGGGACGGCUAACUACGUG